UGAAAAGGGGGGGAGGGCUUGCCGUCCCUCGUAAAAAAAGUAGGUAGUGGGGAGAACUCAUGCCCAAAGUUUCGUUGGAAUUCGCCAGUGUGUGCUUGACCAGCAGCGAGUCAAAGUGCGUCCAGUGCCACUAUUGACCCAGUUUACGGACAGUGCCAGACUUUCGUGCAAGGUACAAUGGAUGAUCAAGCGACAAAUAUCAGAUAUUAUUUACGAGAAAGACGAUUUUAUAUGAUUUUUUAAUAAAAUAAUGUAAAAAUUA
Temnothorax curvispinosus is the source of this 262-nucleotide long non-coding RNA. RefSeq lists it as uncharacterized. The record is from RefSeq and is a predicted model, not a curated record. NCBI's taxonomy places the organism in Eukaryota, Metazoa, Arthropoda, Insecta, Hymenoptera, Formicidae. The transcript is spliced from 2 exons.